AACGAACGCUGGCGGCAUGCCUAACACAUGCAAGUCGAACGAGACCUUCGGGUCUAGUGGCGCACGGGUGCGUAACGCGUGGGAACCUGCCCUUAGGUUCGGAAUAACUCCCCGAAAGGGGUGCUAAUACCGGAUAAUGUCUUCGGACCAAAGAUUUAUCGCCUUUGGAUGGGCCCGCGUUGGAUUAGCUAGUUGGUAGGGUAAAAGCCUACCAAGGCGACGAUCCAUAGCUGGUCUGAGAGGAUGAUCAGCCACACUGGGACUGAGACACGGCCCAGACUCCUAUGGGAGGCAGCAGUGGGGAAUAUUGGACAAUGGGCGAAAGCCUGAUCCAGCAAUGCCGAGUGAGUGAUGAAGGCCUUAGGGUUGUAAAGCUCUUUUACCCGGGAUGAUAAUGACAGUACCGGGAGAAUAAGCUCCGGCUAACUCCGUG
Molecule: ribosomal RNA, 433 nt
Filed under: uncultured bacterium
Lineage: Bacteria
Description: partial 16S ribosomal RNA
Rfam family: Bacterial small subunit ribosomal RNA
Source: RNAcentral